RNAcentral lists this ribosomal RNA (493 nucleotides) under uncultured bacterium. RNAcentral's name for it is "bacterial SSU rRNA". It matches the Rfam family "Bacterial small subunit ribosomal RNA", at positions 28 to 520 of the family's 1533-position model. The record is from RNAcentral.
GAUGAACGCUAGCGGCAGGCUUAACACAUGCAAGUCGAGGGGCAGCACGUCUUCGGAUGGUGGCGACCGGCGCACGGGUGCGUAACGCGUAUACAACCUACCUUAUAGAGGGGAAUAGCCCAGAGAAAUUUGGAUUAAUGCCCCAUAGUAUUAUUGAAUAGCAUUAUUUGAUGAUUAAACAUUUAUGGCUAUAAGAUGGGUAUGCGUUCUAUUAGCUAGAUGGUAAGGUAACGGCUUACCAUGGCGACGAUAGACAGGGGUCCUGAGAGGGAGAUCCCCCACACUGGUACUGAGACACGGACCAGACUCCUACGGGAGGCAGCAGUGAGGAAUAUUGGACAAUGGGCGAGAGCCUGAUCCAGCCAUGCCGCGUGCAGGAAGACGGCCCUAUGGGUUGUAAACUGCUUUUAUACGGGAAGAAACACUCCUUCGUGAAGGAGCUUGACGGUACCGUAAGAAUAAGGAUCGGCUAACUCCGUGCCAGCAGCCGUAC